Molecule: ribosomal RNA, 488 nt
Filed under: uncultured bacterium
Lineage: Bacteria
Description: partial 16S ribosomal RNA
Rfam family: Bacterial small subunit ribosomal RNA
Source: RNAcentral
GACGAACGCUGGCGGCGUGCUUAACACAUGCCAGUCGAACGCGCCUGUCCUCUGGGUUUCUGGGGGGUGGGUGAGUGGCGAACGGGUGAGUAACACGUGAGUAACCUGCCCCCUUCUUCGGGAUAACGGUCUGAAAGGGCUGCUAAUACCGGGUAUUCACUGGUCUCCGCAUGGGGUCUGGUGGAAAGGUUUUUUUCUGGUGGGGGAUGGGCUCGCGGCCUAUCAGCUUGUUGGUGGGGUGAUGGCCCACCAAGGCUUUGACGGGUAGCCGGCCUGAGAGGGUGACCGGUCACAUUGGGGCUGAGAUACGGCCCAGACUCCUACGGGAGGCAGCAGUGGGGAAUAUUGCACAAUGGGCGCAAGCCUGAUGCAGCGACGCCGCGUGAGGGAUGGAGGCCUUCGGGUUGUGAACCUCUUUCGCCCGUGGUCAAGCCGCGACGUGGGUCGUGGUGAGGGUAGUGGGUAAAGAAGCGCCGGCUAACUACGUG